Molecule: ribosomal RNA, 433 nt
Filed under: uncultured bacterium
Lineage: Bacteria
Description: partial 16S ribosomal RNA
Rfam family: Bacterial small subunit ribosomal RNA
Source: RNAcentral
AACGAACGCUGGCGGCAGGCCUAACACAUGCAAGUCGAGCGAGGACUUCGGUCCUAGCGGCGGACGGGUGAGUAACGCGUGGGAACGUGCCCUUUGCUUCGGAAUAGCCCUGGGAAACUGGGAGUAAUACCGGAUGAGCCCUUUGGGGGAAAGAUUUAUCGGCGAAGGAUCGGCCCGCGUUGGAUUAGGUAGUUGGUGGGGUAAUGGCCUACCAAGCCGACGAUCCAUAGCUGGUUUGAGAGGAUGAUCAGCCACACUGGGACUGAGACACGGCCCAGACUCCUACGGGAGGCAGCAGUGGGGAAUCUUAGACAAUGGGGGAAACCCUGAUCUAGCCAUGCCGCGUGAGCGAUGAAGGCCUUAGGGUUGUAAAGCUCUUUCAGCUGGGAAGAUAAUGAUGGUACCAGCAGAAGAAGCCCCGGCUAACUCCGUG